ACCUUCCUUAUGAGCCUGUCAGAGGCUGCUGUUCUACAGAUAAGACACCAUUUCUUCAAAGAGGACUUCCACACCGUGCAGAUCCCUCACCAAACCAAGGCAGAAAGACAUCAGAACAGAGAUGCCACGCCAGCAAUAUUCCCGAUCCACACCAGCCUGGUGCCGGAUUUAACCCUCAAACGAUUAUCAAACCCACUCCAUCUGUGACACCUGCAGCAGGCCAGCAGAACUCUUUUGAUGGCUUGUUUAAAGACUACAAAUCUUUCCUGGUUGACAUCCCACAGAAAACUCCUAAGAAAAGGAGUGGUCAAAAUCAAGACAAUUUUGUGAUGAUUGCUGACGACGGUUCUGCUUCAGCUUUCUACAGAGGAUCAAAAAAUGCAUCAAUCGUCAUAAAAGAAACCUUGCCUUCCAUUUUAUAUUCUCUCAUUGCCAUCAGUAAUCCAACAAACUACAAUCCAAAUAGCAAUGAAGUGAGUGACCAGUUUUUCCUGAAAGACUACAUGGACAAUUACAGUCCUGACGGUGAUUUUCAACACUCCCCUGAUCAUUUGAAUGAGUUGAUUAACAAUCCAUCUACAAAAGAUUCUUCUCUCUACACCGAAAAUAUUAUUUCUAAAAAACUUGAAGAAAGUGAAUGGGGCCAAAAAAAUUUGCAAAGUCACAUACUUGCCACUGAAAGCAGUGCUCAGCCAUUUAAAAAGCAUGGAUUGGAAAAAGUAGGCUUUUUAAAUGUAGUAGAACAAUUUCAUGUGUGAAGAUUACAACGAUAAUUCAAAGAAAUUAUCUUUUUUGCAUACUCAACAGCAAAAAGAAGUUGAUGAUGGUCGUAUUCUUUGUGAUGAUAAGCUUUUGGCGGUAAAACCAUCAUAUGACAAAUUGAGAGGGACCCUGUUCUUCCCUGGUAGCAGAAGCCGUUAUGGUUCCAGCAUUCAUAAAGGAAUAAUAAAAGGAUGACCAUUGAGGCUGUAAAAGAAAAUCAAUGUUAAAUGGUGAAUCCAAAUGAUUAACAUUUUUGUUUCUUGUCAUGAUGAGGAAAGUACAAUGAGAUUUGACAAAUAACAUGAUGGUGCCAGGUGGAAAAAUCAAGCCCAUUCAAUCUGCAGGAGUCCUGGCAUACUGCUUUUGCAAAUAAAAUGCAUUGUGAUCACUAA
Molecule: long non-coding RNA, 1154 nt
Organism: Carassius carassius (crucian carp)
Lineage: Eukaryota; Metazoa; Chordata; Actinopteri; Cypriniformes; Cyprinidae
Exons: 2
Source: RefSeq, a predicted model, not a curated record